UGGGGAAUAUUGCACAAUGGGGGAAACCCUGAUGCAGCGACGCCGCGUGGAGGAAGAAGGUCUUCGGAUUGUAAACUCCUGUUGUCGAGGAAGAUAAUGACGGUACUCAACAAGGAAGUGACGGCUAACUACGUGCCAGCAGCCGCGGUAAAACGUAGGUCACAAGCGUUGUCCGGAAUUACUGGGUGUAAAGGGAGCGCAGGCGGGAGAACAAGUUGGAAGUGAAAUCCAUGGGCUCAACCCAUGAACUGCUUUCAAAACUGUUUUUCUUGAGUAGUGCAGAGGUAGGCGGAAUUCCCGGUGUAGCGGUGGAAUGCGUAGAUAUCGGGAGGAACACCAGUGGCGAAGGCGGCCUACUGGGCACCAACUGACGCUGAGGCUCGAAAGUGUGGGUAGC
RNAcentral lists this ribosomal RNA (397 nucleotides) under uncultured bacterium. Its description in RNAcentral is "bacterial SSU rRNA". It matches the Rfam family "Bacterial small subunit ribosomal RNA", at positions 355 to 769 of the family's 1533-position model. The record is from RNAcentral.